CAAGAAAUUCAAACAUCAAUUUUGAGAAGUCGUCUGAGGACUUCAAUUUUUUAACGCUGAAGACUAAGGGUUGAAUUUGCUCAUUUUGGUGCUUUUGCAAUCACAUUGGUGGUGAUGAUGGGAUUAAGAAGGUUGCUCAGGGAGGAAUAAAAGAAUCGUGAUCAGGGAAAACUCCUAAGGCAAAUGAAGAAAUGUAAAAUAUUUGUUGGUAAAAUACUACUGGUAAUCGAAAAACACAUUAUUUGACACAUAGAAAUUUGUAUGCAGAUGUUUACUUUAGAUUGUUAUUCAGGUGAUUUGUGAUACACAAAAACAUUUACUUUAUUCCACAUUGUAUCUUUAUUGAUGAAAAUGAACACUUACAAAAUUUAAAUGAUUACAAUUAUAUCUAACAUUA
Molecule: long non-coding RNA, 397 nt
Organism: Xenia sp. Carnegie-2017
Lineage: Eukaryota; Metazoa; Cnidaria; Anthozoa; Malacalcyonacea; Xeniidae
Exons: 2
Source: RefSeq, a predicted model, not a curated record